This 826-nucleotide long non-coding RNA is filed under the name Daucus carota (carrot). RNAcentral's name for it is "long non-coding RNA (DCAR_LNC002976)". The record is from RNAcentral. Lineage: Eukaryota; Viridiplantae; Streptophyta; Magnoliopsida; Apiales; Apiaceae.
AUCUCAUAUCAUCGAACUCCAAUUCCAAUGCACAUCAACUCGCUCUUAAAUCAAACCUGAAAAUUGUAAGUAAUGAGCUAUACAGCCCAGCAAGCAACUAAUCGAUCCAACUAGUCGGGCCAAGUAACAUGUAUACACAUAAGAUAAAAUAUAUUUUUUUAUACGAUAACAAUAUACGCAACAAAUACUUUCAAAACACUUUCAUCUUCUUAUUCGAUGCCACAAUCACAUGGUGAACAAUAACUCAGAACUCAUAGUUUAUACCACGACCACUACAACCCGGUGAUAACGGUCCUGAAUUUUCUGAAAACUGUCACUAUAACCUCAGAGUUCCGAAAUCAUCGUCAACACCACACAUAUACGAGAACACAAAUUAAUUCAAAAUAUAAUCACUUAGCCCAAAUUUAUAUAUCAAAUAUAAACAUAUAACACAUCAGUUUAAAAAUACCAGAAAGAUCAAUCAGAAACUUACCACAACACCGAAAACCAAUAAUUAACAUCAUCUUAGAUCAUAUAAUCAAUCCUUAGCAACCAACCACAAUCAUCUCCUCUAAAACUCCAAAAGCCUCCAUGAAUCCAAUCUGCCCAGAUCACUAAUAUACUGUUUUGACCCCCUAAACGACAUUUUUUUGGAAAACGCAAAACACAAAAGUUGCAGAGAACGAAAAGACCUUUCCGAAAAGGUAUGGCUCGUCGAAAACGGACUCAUAACGAAUCGGGAAUCAAAUAAAACAUCUGCUGACUCAGAUUCGAAGCGAAAAACAGGGUCUGAAUAAGUUUUGGGAUUAUGAGAACAGUUCGAAAAAGAAUCUGAGAAAACAUUGUG